UGAGUAACGCGUGGAUAACCUACCUCAAGGUCUGGGAUAACAGCUCGAAAGGGCUGCUAAUACCGGAUGUGGUGCAUAUGCUGCAUGGUAGAUGCACUAAAGGGGAAACCCGCCAUGAGAUGGGUCCGCGUCCCAUCAGCUAGUUGGUGGGGUAAAGGCCUACCAAGGCGACGACGGGUAGCCGGCCUGAGAGGGUGACCGGCUACACUGGGACUGAGACACGGCCCAGACUCCUACGGGGGGCAGCAGUGGGGAAUAUUGCACAAUGGGCGAAAGCCUGAUGCAGCGACGCCGCGUGGGCGAAGAAGGCCUUCGGGUUGUAAAGCCCUGUCUGGAGGGACGAAGUAAUGACGGUACCUCCGGAGGAAGCCACGGCUAACUACGUGCCAGCAGCCGCGGUAAUACGUAGGUGGCGAGCGUUGUCCGGAAUUACUGGGCGUAAAGGGCGUGCAGGCGGCCACUUAAGUCGGGCGUGAA
RNAcentral lists this ribosomal RNA (477 nucleotides) under uncultured bacterium. RNAcentral describes it as "bacterial SSU rRNA". It matches the Rfam family "Bacterial small subunit ribosomal RNA", at positions 107 to 598 of the family's 1533-position model. The record is from RNAcentral.